UGACAGGAUGAUAUCUAUUCUUUGAAUGUUCUUCGAUGACGGGCCUCGGCCUGCGAUGAGAAGCAUAAUAGAUGAACCCUUUAACUCUGAAAC
This 93-nucleotide small RNA is filed under the name Leishmania major strain Friedlin. RNAcentral describes it as "Leishmania major c/D snoRNA". The record is from RNAcentral. Lineage: Eukaryota; Euglenozoa; Kinetoplastea; Trypanosomatida; Trypanosomatidae.